Molecule: long non-coding RNA, 223 nt
Filed under: Elaeis guineensis (African oil palm)
Lineage: Eukaryota; Viridiplantae; Streptophyta; Magnoliopsida; Arecales; Arecaceae
Description: long non-coding RNA (EGUI_LNC036823)
Source: RNAcentral
GAUGCAAUUAAGCACAUUCUAACUUAUACUAAAUUUCUUAAGAAACUUUGCACCCAAAAGCAUGAGUCGAAAAUCAUAAAAAGAAUUAUGCUGUCUGAGGAUGUAAGUGCAAUCCUAUUGAACCCAUUGCCUAAAAAAAUGAAAGACCCUAGAGCUCCUUUAAUUUCAUGUGUUAGGAGGCAUCAUCUUUGAUUGAGUCCUCUUAGAUUUAAGAGCUAGUGUG